UCAACUCAUUUUUUAUUCGACAAGUAUUUACCUAAAAAAAUAUUCGAGUGCAGAAAUUGGAUCAAGGGCGUAGAAAAUCCAUUAAAACAAAAUCAAAAUCUUCUUUCGGUACCUCUCCAUUACUGGAGGUUGGCCGUCAGUCUCGUGAAGUGUGUCUCCUUUAAAAUUGCGCUAGAAGUGGCCCAGGUACGCCAGGGAUAAAAAAAUAUUAUCACAAAAAAAUUGAACAAAUUAUCUGGAUUGUUUGAUAUUUUAUAAAAAAUUCAAGAAAAAUAAUAUAACAUAUGACUAUAUUCACCAAUAGUUGCUACUAUAAAGGUAUAGGAAAGUAAAAGUUUUGAUGAUGUAAUCUAAGCCAAAAAUACAAUUGUAUUACUCUUUUCAAAGUAGAUUUUAUAUCAAUAGUAUAGGACCUACUUUAUUUCUGUAAUAGUAUAUGGGUCAUUGGUUUUGAGUAUUAAGCCAAAAAAGAAAGGAGUCGCCUUUACGCGCGUCCCCUCUGUCAAAGUACGAACCCGCUGGACAUACGCGUUAUAUAAAUCUGUUUCUCGACCCUUCCGCGCCAUUCCGGUACGACGCUUGUUAGUGUAAAGAGCUCCGACAAAAAAUGACUGGAUGCAGUGUAUUCGGCUGUAAAAAAAGGUCUGACACAUCGAGUGUACAAAAAGACAACGUGACAUUUCAUCUAUUUCCAAAAGACCCUAUCCGUCGACAACAAUGGAUAAAAGCUUGUGAAAAUCACAGAACAUGGCUACCCAAACGUACAAGUAAAGUUUGCUCCGUUCAUUUUGAUACGUCAUGUUUCUUGUUGCUGGCUAACAACAAAAGAAAAUUAAAGGAAUCAGCAACACCUACUUUGAAAUUACCAAAUAAAUUUAUUCUGUCAACAUACGAAGCAAAUAGAUCUUUAUGAUUGUUAUUUUAAACUAACCUUCUACUUGCGAAUUCGUCUGGGCGGAUUUUGGAUUGUAACAAUUUUUUGACUAUCCCUUGGGGACCUUACACAUUUCCGGGAUAAAUCAUAGUCUGUGUUAGUAGUGCUUGUUCCCUACACCCCCCAAAUUUCAUCGAAAUCAGUCAAGCCGUUAAGCGUGAAAGAGAAACAAACACAAAUAAAAAUUCAUACUUUCACAUUUAUAAUACUAUAGUCCGCUUUACAUUUGUGUAAGUGAUCGCCAAAAGCAUUAUACCUUGUCUCCUUCAAACUUAAACACAAUAACAAAAUUAAUUUGCAGCUCAAUAACGCGUUCGUCAUAUAAGUAUAACAGUACAAGAUUGAAACACUGAUUUAGUAUUACAAACUUGUUGUCGCGUUAACAAAGUAUGGCGCGAUUUGUUAUUGAAGCGCAACUAAUUUUGUAACCUUAAACACAGAUUGAUAGAGACAUGUUAUUGGAGCGGGACGCAUCGCCUUUCAGUGUCCUUCUUGAUGCACUACUUCACCUUAGUGAAAGUUAAUGAAGCCAUGAGGGACGGUACCCAAACCAAAGUCCGUUAUUAGCUUGAGUCACGCAAGAACUUGACACUACUUAUCCUUAUACACACUGAAACUGACCAAUUCAUAGAGUUUGGGUACAGUCGCUUGUGGUGCCAUUAGUUCACAAUUUGCCACCCCAUGUGUGAAAAAAAUUUUUUUUAGAAUAUUUCUGCUAUUGCAGAAUAGAAUGAACAACUGAAUGAUUGAAUGAAUAAAUUUUAUCGACAUGGUGGUAGCUCUAAUUAUCUCGGGAUUGUUGCGUAUGUGUGCUGUACAUGUAACGUGUAAAGAUACGAUUUCUAUAAAUGUGUGCGUUGCGGUUACUCUUGUGUAAGCAAAUUAGGUUUGUGUGCGUGUGUACAAACAUUGUGCAAUUUGUUUCUGUAGUAAAAUUUUGUCUGUGUGAGUGCCUCGUCCCCCGCCGAUGUUUUGGCAGAAAAAUUAAUUAGCAUCGUUCGAGUGAUGGCGUCUCCUUUCUGGCUUAAUACUCAAAGGUCAUUGGCAAGUUUCGCGCAGGUAACCUAGUCCCUCAACUGUGAUUAU
Pieris napi is the source of this 2020-nucleotide long non-coding RNA. RefSeq lists it as uncharacterized. NCBI's taxonomy places the organism in Eukaryota, Metazoa, Arthropoda, Insecta, Lepidoptera, Pieridae. The transcript has 3 exons. The record is from RefSeq and is a predicted model, not a curated record.